This 824-nucleotide long non-coding RNA is filed under the name Drosophila guanche. The record is from RNAcentral. Lineage: Eukaryota; Metazoa; Arthropoda; Insecta; Diptera; Drosophilidae.
AUUUCGCUUGCUCAUUUUAAUUGUAAUUUUCCUUUCGCGCAUACACACAGAAACACGCUACAUGCUACACGCCACAUGGCAUACGUGGUAGGAGUGCCGCUCCCACUCCUGGUUCUGGUUCUGUGUUUUGUGGCUUAAUUUCAUAUCGUUUACCUUGACAACAGGGCAUGGGUACAUCACCGCCAAGCACACACCAAAGAAGAAGGUGACUGGGAGACAACAUGAUGACGAUGAUGGGCAAUGACAGGGAACAGCGACACCACCAUGGACACGGCUCUGGCAAUGGCAGGCAAUGUCUGCUGACAGUCAGCUUUCGCCAUGCCAGAGAGCCCUGCCGGACCCCACGAUGUGAAGACUGACAUGAACAGGCCAUGGAGCGAUAGAGAGAGAUGAAGCUCUGGCAUCAGGGCCGGAUAUAAAAUAUGUUGAGCACUGUAAAGCGUGUCAGCACUAAGUUGCUUUUAUUUUUAAACAUAUUUCCAGCUAGCUUUAGCUACAGUCUGCUCUAUAAAUAUUACAUGUCGACUGAAUCAAGUUAAAAUUAAAUUUCCUAAGGCAAAAGUUGUCAACACCCGCACCCUCUAAUCUUUUUUGCAGUCCCUGUAAUUUAGUUUGCACUGUUUUUUUGCAUCUCUGCAGCUGGGGGACUACGACUAAUGACUUGGAAUUUGUUGCCCGCCAGCCAAAUGAGCAUGUGUGUGCUCUGGCCUGUCUCUCGGGCAGAUGUUGUCGCCAUUAACGCCUCGCACAGGCCAAAAAAUAGAGAAAGCAGCAACUUAAGUGCAACAGAAGCGUAAAAAUCAUUAAGCUCCAGCUGCUGCUGC